This 27-nucleotide non-coding RNA is filed under the name Cricetulus griseus (Chinese hamster). Lineage: Eukaryota; Metazoa; Chordata; Mammalia; Rodentia; Cricetidae. The record is from RNAcentral.
ACUCUGCCUUAGACUCAAAACAUGACC